RNAcentral lists this ribosomal RNA (460 nucleotides) under uncultured bacterium. RNAcentral describes it as "partial 16S ribosomal RNA". It matches the Rfam family "Bacterial small subunit ribosomal RNA", at positions 338 to 795 of the family's 1533-position model. The record is from RNAcentral.
CCUACGGGAGGCAGCAGUGAGGAAUAUUGGUCAAUGGACGAGAGUCUGAACCAGCCAAGUAGCGUGAAGGAUGACUGCCCUAUGGGUUGUAAACUUCUUUUAUAUGGGAAUAAAAUGUUCCACGUGUGGGAUUUUGUAUGUACCGUAUGAAUAAGGAUCGGCUAACUCCGUGCCAGCAGCCGCGGUAAUACGGAGGAUCCGAGCGUUAUCCGGAUUUAUUGGGUUUAAAGGGAGCGUAGGUGGGUUGUUAAGUCAGUUGUGAAAGUUUGCGGCUCAACCGUAAAAUUGCAGUUGAAACUGGCAGUCUUGAGUACAGUAUAGGUGGGCGGAAUUCGUGGUGUAGCGGUGAAAUGCUUAGAUAUCACGAAGAACUCCGAUUGCGAAGGCAGUUCACUGGACUGCAACUGACACUGAGGCUCGAAAGUGUGGGUAUCAAACAGGAUUAGAUACCCUUGUAGUC